Molecule: ribosomal RNA, 536 nt
Filed under: Fusarium sp. CS1
Lineage: Eukaryota; Fungi; Ascomycota; Sordariomycetes; Hypocreales; Nectriaceae
Description: eukaryotic LSU rRNA
Rfam family: 5.8S ribosomal RNA (bases 170-323)
Source: RNAcentral
CCUGCGGAGGGAUCAUUACCGAGUUUACAACUCCCAAACCCCUGUGAACAUACCUUAAUGUUGCCUCGGCGGAUCAGCCCGCGCCCCGUAAAACGGGACGGCCCGCCAGAGGACCCAAACUCUAAUGUUUCUUAUUGUAACUUCUGAGUAAAACAAACAAAUAAAUCAAAACUUUCAACAACGGAUCUCUUGGUUCUGGCAUCGAUGAAGAACGCAGCAAAAUGCGAUAAGUAAUGUGAAUUGCAGAAUUCAGUGAAUCAUCGAAUCUUUGAACGCACAUUGCGCCCGCUGGUAUUCCGGCGGGCAUGCCUGUUCGAGCGUCAUUUCGACCCUCAAGCCCCCGGGUUUGGUGUUGGGGAUCAGCUCUGCCUUCUGGCGGCGCCGCCCCCGAAAUACAUUGGCGGUCUCGCUGCAGCCUCCAUUGCGUAGUAGCUAACACCUCGCAACUGGAACGCGGCGCGGCCAUGCCGUAAAACCCCAACUUCUGAAUGUUGACCUCGGAUCAGGUAGGAAUACCCGCUGAACUUAAGCAUAUC